RNAcentral lists this transfer RNA (82 nucleotides) under Didymella glomerata. RNAcentral's name for it is "Peyronellaea glomerata tRNA". It matches the Rfam family "tRNA". From Rfam's summary of the family: Transfer RNA (tRNA) molecules are approximately 80 nucleotides in length. Their secondary structure includes four short double-helical elements and three loops (D, anti-codon, and T loops). The record is from Rfam by way of RNAcentral. RNAcentral also lists the same sequence under 1 other name. Lineage: Eukaryota; Fungi; Ascomycota; Dothideomycetes; Pleosporales; Didymellaceae.
GGACAGAUGGCCGAGCGGUCUAAGGCGCUAGCUUCAGGUGCUAGUAGAGUAAUCUGCGUGGGUUCGAAUCCCACUCUGUUCA